This 400-nucleotide ribosomal RNA is filed under the name uncultured bacterium. RNAcentral describes it as "bacterial SSU rRNA". It matches the Rfam family "Bacterial small subunit ribosomal RNA", at positions 89 to 524 of the family's 1533-position model. The record is from RNAcentral.
GGUCUAGUGGCGCACGGGUGCGUAACGCGUGGGAAUCUGCCCUUGGGUUCGGAAUAACUCAGAGAAAUUUGAGCUAAUACCGGAUGAUGACGUAAGUCCAAAGAUUUAUCGCCCAAGGAUGAGCCCGCGUAAGAUUAGGUAGUUGGUGGGGUAAAAGCCUACCAAGCCGACGAUCUUUAGCUGGUCUGAGAGGAUGAUCAGCCACACUGGGACUGAGACACGGCCCAGACUCCUACGGGAGGCAGCAGUGGGGAAUAUUGGACAAUGGGCGAAAGCCUGAUCCAGCAAUGCCGCGUGAGUGAUGAAGGCCCUAGGGUUGUAAAGCUCUUUUACCCGGGAUGAUAAUGACAGUACCGGGAGAAUAAGCCCCGGCUAACUCCGUGCCAGCAGCCGCGGUAAU